RNAcentral lists this long non-coding RNA (1891 nucleotides) under Equus caballus (horse). RNAcentral describes it as "lncRNA (ENSECAG00000058634.1)". The record is from RNAcentral. Lineage: Eukaryota; Metazoa; Chordata; Mammalia; Perissodactyla; Equidae.
AGGACCUGGGCUGACACACUGAUUAACAGGGGAACAGAUGAGGACUGGGUUCAGAGGCCUACUGUACAUUUGAGUACUCACUGCAGGUUACCACUGAGCCAUCGGACGAGGAUGCUGACCCAUAAUGAUCCUAAAAUCCUCUGGGUACUGAUCUACCUGUACCUGGUCAGAGCCGUUGCUGGGGCUGGCAGGAACCAAAUCUGCCUCUUGGAUACUGAGAACUAAGGCUUUGUAGAACAUCUUUUUCUCUUUUAAAUUGCAGGUGUCCUAGCUCACUUACUUAUGGUUUAUGAAACUAGCCAAUUCUACUUGAAGGCCAGCCUGAACGAGCAACAGCAAGCCGACUCAGAUGAUAGCAUCAGCUCAUCCAGCUCUUUGGUCAAAACCAUUGCUCUCAAUAUCACCAUUGCCCUUGCCAAUAAUCAUAAUAAGAGCUAACAUUUAUCGAGCACUUAAUUUGUGCCAGGCAGCCUGCCAAACACCAUGCAUGGAUUAUCUUAUUUGAUUCUCAUAACUACUCUGUAAGGUAGGCCCCAUUUUUUUCCCCAGAGAAGUUAAGUAUUUGCUGAAGGCCACAUGACUAAUAAACGGCAAAAUUUAAAAUCAGGUCAAUCUCAUUUCACAGCCUGUGCUCUUAACUACUAGAAUGAGCACAGCUGUCAGUGAUACAUCCGGGUGAGGACCUCAGACUUGACUCCCUCUGCCUGAUUGCUCGGUAUAGCAAGCCCAGGGGUGGCUGCUAGGAAUUCUGAACCAACGCAAAAUGGAGAAGCCACCCUUCUCGAUGUCAACAAGGAAGUCAAUGUCAAUGGAUUCUGAGAAGUGAUGUCCAACUCUGGAGUGAAAGUGGCCUCAGGAUCAAGAAUUAUUGUAGAACUAUCAAUGUCAGUCUGUCCAGUUACCAGUGGGAGAAAUUUCAAAACUCCAUGCCAGCUCUCCAUUCCCCGUGAGCACAUAACUCCAUGGUCGUGCAGAGCACAAGCCUACUGAACGCCCAGACUUUGAAAACAACUCCUACUCAGCUCUACACACUAUCACAGGACUCAGGAGGUAGAGAAGUUGCCUGGACAAAAUAAUCACAGCCUUUAAUUUUUCAAACACCCAAAAAUGGACUUCGGUGAAUCUGGUAACUGGCUCUUUAAGGAAAAUAAAAUGACAAUGAUGAUAUCUACGACAAUAAAACCCAAAUAAUAUAUUCCCUUUCCAAACACAAGUGUUUCAAAAUAAAAAACAGAUGAAAGUUUCUGAUAGGCCCCCAAAAAAUUACUCACUUUUCUUCAAGUCUUUAAUUACUAGUGAGAUUAUCUUUUCAUGUAUGAACCGGACAUUUAUAUAUCUUCUUUUCUAAAUUGCUAUUUUUGUUGUUUCCCCGCUUUCUAAUGGGAUAUUCAUUUGUUAUUUGUUUGUUAGAGCUCUUUUUAUAUUAUAUCUAAUAACCCUUUAUUAUAUGUGAUGGUGAUUUUUGUCCUCAGUUUGACAUUUAUCUUGACUAUGGUGUUCUUACUAUAUGUAAAUAUUUUUUAUUAUUAUGUAUUCACAUGUAUCAAUCUUUUAUAGCAUCUGCCUUUUAUGUCAUCUUUGGAAAAGCAUUCUUCAAUACAAGAUUAUAAAAAUACUCACCUAUAGUUCCUCAAGUAUUUUUAGGGUUGGUUUUUCUUUUUUUUUUUUAAUGUUUAAACCUUUAAAUUAUGUGGAAUUUAUUUUGCUUUAAGGCAUCGGAUAGGAUUAAACUUAAUUUUUCCCCUGACUAUCCAUUUGUUCCAGUAUCAUUUAUUGAAAAAUUCUUCUUUUUCCUCCACCUUCAUCUUAUACAUUCUCUAUGUGCCAAUGAAAAGGAAAAGGUUACUUAUUUUAAUUUUAUUGGGAAUGAAUACCAGCAUUCUGCUGUGUA